AGGUUGGGAUGAGAGAGAGAGAGAGAGAGAGAGAGAGAGAGAGAGAGAGAGAGAGAGAGAGAAGGGUUUAAUUGGUGUGGGUGCAGUGCAGAGAGCAGCCAACUCUCCGGCGCUCGUGCAGUGGAGCUUUCUGAUGGGUGUCAGCGCCACCCACGCGUCUUUUGCUCUUACUCCCACGCCCCCAACACUCUGGAUUAUGCGGUCAAACCAUGCUCUCUCUCUCUCUCUCUCUCUCUCUCUCUCUCUCUCUCUCCAUUGACCUAUUU
This 266-nucleotide microRNA precursor is filed under the name Prunus dulcis (almond). Its description in RNAcentral is "sRNA ncRNA". The record is from RNAcentral. Lineage: Eukaryota; Viridiplantae; Streptophyta; Magnoliopsida; Rosales; Rosaceae.